GCCCUCGUCGUUCAAUGGAUAGGACGCCUCCCUCCGAAGGAGGUGAUGCAAGUUCGAUUCUUGCCGAGGGCA
This 72-nucleotide transfer RNA is filed under the name bacterium. Its description in RNAcentral is "tRNA-Arg". It matches the Rfam family "tRNA". Rfam says of the family: Transfer RNA (tRNA) molecules are approximately 80 nucleotides in length. Their secondary structure includes four short double-helical elements and three loops (D, anti-codon, and T loops). The record is from RNAcentral.